Molecule: ribosomal RNA, 468 nt
Filed under: uncultured bacterium
Lineage: Bacteria
Description: partial 16S ribosomal RNA
Rfam family: Bacterial small subunit ribosomal RNA
Source: RNAcentral
GACGAACGCUGGCGGCGUGCUUAACACAUGCAAGUCGAACGGAAAGGCCCUGCUUUUGUGGGGUGCUCGAGUGGCGAACGGGUGAGUAACACGUGAGUAACCUGCCCUUGACUUUGGGAUAACUUCAGGAAACUGGGGCUAAUACCGGAUAGGAGCUCCUGCUGCAUGGUGGGGCUUGGAAAGUUUCGGCGGUUGGGGAUGGACUCGCGGCUUAUCAGCUUGUUGGUGGGGUAGUGGCUUACCAAGGCUUUGACGGGUAGCCGGCCUGAGAGGGUGACCGGCCACAUUGGGACUGAGAUACGGCCCAGACUCCUACGGGAGGCAGCAGUGGGGAAUAUUGCACAAUGGGCGGAAGCCUGAUGCAGAAACGCCGCGUGCGGGAUGACGGCCUUCGGGUUGUAAACCGCUUUCGCCUGUGACGAAGCGUGAGUGACGGUAAUGGGUAAAGAAGCACCGGCUAACUACGUG